This 469-nucleotide ribosomal RNA is filed under the name uncultured bacterium. RNAcentral's name for it is "partial 16S ribosomal RNA". It matches the Rfam family "Bacterial small subunit ribosomal RNA", at positions 28 to 507 of the family's 1533-position model. The record is from RNAcentral.
GACGAACGCUGGCGGCGUGCUUAACACAUGCAAGUCGAACGGAAAGGCCCUGCUUGCCGGGUGCUCGAGUGGCGAACGGGUGAGUAACACGUGGGUGAUCUGCCCCUUACUUUGGGAUAAGCCUGGGAAACUGGGUCUAAUACUGGAUAGGACCAUGCUGUAGGUGGUGUGGUGGAAAGAUUAGUUUCGGUAAGGGAUGAGCUCGCGGCCUAUCAGCUUGUUGGUGGGGUGAUGGCCUACCAAGGCGUCGACGGGUAGCCGGCCUGAGAGGGUGGACGGCCACAUUGGGACUGAGAUACGGCCCAGACUCCUACGGGAGGCAGCAGUGGGGAAUAUUGCACAAUGGGCGCAAGCCUGAUGCAGCGACGCCGCGUGGGGGAUGACGGCCUUCGGGUUGUAAACUCCUUUCAGCCAUGACGAAGCCCUUGUGGUGACGGUAGUGGUAGAAGAAGCACCGGCUAACUACGUG